RNAcentral lists this long non-coding RNA (1255 nucleotides) under Panicum hallii. RNAcentral's name for it is "long non-coding RNA (PHAL_LNC000410)". The record is from RNAcentral. Lineage: Eukaryota; Viridiplantae; Streptophyta; Magnoliopsida; Poales; Poaceae.
ACUGCAAUUGCCAGGAUCAGAAUGCCUUUUGGAACAAUCGACCGGCGGAGUUCAUGAGGUACAAAAGCAAUGGUCCCAAUACCCCACGCGUUUUUUUAUGAAUAAAACUAGAACAUUUCACGCGCCCAACGCGCCCUACCAUUUGAACAAUUAAAUGCAAGCAAUAACAAACUAAUAACAACUAUAUACAUGGUAUAAGGUAAAAUAAAUCUAUCAAUAGAAUAUAGAAUACAGUAAGCACUACUUGUCCAACAGUCUCUCUACUCAUAAGUUUCUAAUUAAUAUGGGCCCGCAUGUCAGUAUUUAUUUAAUAUUUUAAUCCAAUCGUCUUCUCUCCUCGUGCCCUCCGCCCGCCGCGCCUUCUCGCCUCCAUGCUCGCGGACCUGCUUGCCUUCGUGCCUGCUCUACUUCCUGUCCUCGCUGAUUGCCGGCCGCCCGCUCCGCCUCCGUGGUUUGCCGGCUACUCGCUCCGCCUCUGUCCCCGCGGCUCGUCGACUCGCUCUGCCUCCAUGCCCGCGGCUCGUACUCAUUAGUCAUUCGUGCCCCCGCGACGGCUGCUCUCCUCGCCUACACCUACGUCGGUUGCCGCUACCCGCCUCGCCACCUCGCCCGACGCCGAUGGCCGCGCCCAGAGUCGCCUCGCCCCGCGCCGCGGUCGAGCUCCGCCCCCGCCCGUCCACCCGCGCUGGAGGCCGCCCGCUACGCGGUCGACUGCGACGAACACCGGUCCCAUCCCCAUGAAGACCUCGCCUGUGCCGAACUCCACCCAGCCCGAGGAAAGCAUCAUGCACGAGCUCUGCUGCAGCGCCAGGCAAGCUUCUGUGCUGAGGCCGAGGCCGAGUUCCGCCCCCCGCAGCACGGUGGAGGGUAGAGGGGAGCUCGCCAUGCCCGGUCGCGUCGCACCACUCCUGCCCCGACCUCCGCGUGGGUGGAGGGCGGAGGGAGCUCGCCGUGCCUGGCCGCGCCGCUAAUCCUCCGAGCUCGGCGCCCCCGGCCACCCCGCGCGCUCCUCCGCCCAAGCACAGCGCGCCCGGCCGCCCCGCGCCGCUCCUCCGCCCAAGCUCAGCGCGCCUGGCCGCUUCGUGCCGCUCCGCGGCUCCUCCGCCCGAGCAGAGAGAGAGAAUGGUGGGUCCUUUGUGUGCCGAAGCACAGAGAGAGAGAGAGAAUUGUGGGAGACGGCAGACGCGCACAUGGUGUGGGGUGGACACGGAGCGCUCCUCCCGCUGCCGGACGCACGCUGCGCAACACGUUUCCA